AGUUAAGUAGUGUAAUUGGUAGCACAUGAGAUCGGAAAUCUCCGACAUGUGGGUUCGAGUCCUGCCUGAGGUU
This 73-nucleotide transfer RNA is filed under the name Dictyocaulus viviparus (bovine lungworm). It matches the Rfam family "tRNA". Rfam says of the family: Transfer RNA (tRNA) molecules are approximately 80 nucleotides in length. Their secondary structure includes four short double-helical elements and three loops (D, anti-codon, and T loops). Lineage: Eukaryota; Metazoa; Nematoda; Chromadorea; Rhabditida; Metastrongylidae. The record is from Rfam by way of RNAcentral.